GUGGGGAAUAUUGGACAAUGGGCGAAAGCCUGAUCCAGCCAUGCCGCGUGUGUGAAGAAGGUCUUCGGAUUGUAAAGCACUUUAAGUUGGGAGGAAGGGCAGUAAGUUAAUACCUUGCUGUUUUGACGUUACCGACAGAAUAAGCACCGGCUAACUUCGUGCCAGCAGCCGCGGUAAUACGAAGGGUGCAAGCGUUAAUCGGAAUUACUGGGCGUAAAGCGCGCGUAGGUGGUUUUGUAAGUUGGAGGUGAAAUCCCCGGGCUCAACCUGGGAACUGCCUCCAAAACUGCAUGACUAGAGUACGGUAGAGGGUAGUGGAAUUUCCUGUGUAGCGGUGAAAUGCGUAGAUAUAGGAAGGAACACCAGUGGCGAAGGCGACUACCUGGACUGAUACUGACACUGAGGUGCGAAAGCGUGGGGAGCAAACAGGAUUAGAUACCUGUGUAGUCC
This 450-nucleotide ribosomal RNA is filed under the name uncultured bacterium. RNAcentral's name for it is "partial 16S ribosomal RNA". It matches the Rfam family "Bacterial small subunit ribosomal RNA", at positions 354 to 796 of the family's 1533-position model. The record is from RNAcentral.